GAAUCUUCCGCAAUGGACGAAAGUCUGACGGAGCAACGCCGCGUGAGUGAUGAAGGUUUUCGGAUCGUAAAGCUCUGUUGCCAGGGAAGAACGCUUGGGAUAGUAACUGCUCCCAAGGUGACGGUACCUGCGAAGCAAGCCCCGGCUAACUACGUGCCAGCCGCCGCGGUAAUACGUAGGGGGCAAGCGUUGUCCGGAAUUAUUGGGCGUAAAGCGCGCGCAGGCGGCCUUGUAAGUCUGUUGUUUAAACUUGGGGCUCAACCCCAAGUCGCAAUGGAAACUGCAAAGCUUGAGUACAGAAGAGGAAAGUGGAAUUCCACGUGUAGCGGUGAAAUGCGUAGAGAUGUGGAGGAACACCAGUGGCGAAGGCGACUUUCUGGGCUGUAACUGACGCUGAGGCGCGAAAGCGUGGGGAGCAAACAGG
Molecule: ribosomal RNA, 424 nt
Filed under: uncultured bacterium
Lineage: Bacteria
Description: bacterial SSU rRNA
Rfam family: Bacterial small subunit ribosomal RNA
Source: RNAcentral